GAUGAACGCUGGCGGCGUGCUUAACACAUGCAAGUCGAACGAGGUCCAACCUUCGGGUGAAGACCGAGUGGCGAACGGGUGAGUAACACGUGGGGAACCUGCCCUUCUCUCUGGGAUAACCUCGGGAAACCGAAGCUAAUACCGGAUACUCCUUGCGGACCGCAUGGUCUGCUCGGGAAAGCUCCGGCGGAGAAGGAUGGCCCCGCGGCCCAUUAGCUUGUUGGUGGGGUAACGGCCCACCAAGGCGACGAUGGGUAGCCGAGCUGAGAGGCUGAUCGGCCACACUGGGACUGAGACACGGCCCAGACUCCUACGGGAGGCAGCAGUGGGGAAUCUUGCGCAAUGGGCGAAAGCCUGACGCAGCAACGCCGCGUGCGGGAUGAAGGCUCUCGGGUCGUAAACCGCUUUCAGCAGGGAUGAAAAUGACAGUACCUGCAGAAGAAGCCCCGGCUAAAUACGUGCCAGCAGCCGCGGUAAUACGUAUGGGGCAAGCGUUAUCCGGAUUCAUUGGGCGUAAAGCGCGCGUAGGCGGCUUGUUAAGUCAGGCGUGAAAUCCGGGGGCUCAACCCGCGGCUUGCGUCUGAAACUGGCAGGCUUGAGUCUGGUAGAGGAAAGUGGAAUUCCUGGUGUAGCGGUGAAAUGCGCAGAUAUCAGGAGGAACACCAGUGGCGAAGGCGGCUUUCUGGGCCACGACUGACGCUGAGGCGCGAAAGCUAGGGGAGCGAACA
This 728-nucleotide ribosomal RNA is filed under the name actinobacterium enrichment culture. RNAcentral describes it as "bacterial SSU rRNA". It matches the Rfam family "Bacterial small subunit ribosomal RNA", at positions 28 to 774 of the family's 1533-position model. The record is from RNAcentral. Lineage: Bacteria; Bacillati; Actinomycetota; Actinomycetes.